CAGCAGCCGCGGGAAUACGUAGGUGGCAAGCGUUGUCCGGAAUUAUUGGGCGUAAAGGGCUCGCAGGCGGUUUCUUAAGUCUGAUGUGAAAGCCCCCGGCUCAACCGGGGAGGGUCAUUGGAAACUGGGAAACUUGAGUGCAGAAGAGGAGAGUGGAAUUCCACGUGUAGCGGUGAAAUGCGUAGAGAUGUGGAGGAACACCAGUGGCGAAGGCGGCUUUUUGGCCUGUAACUGACACUGAGGCGCGAAAGCGUGGGGAGCAAACAGGAUUAGAUACCCGAGUAGUCCCUGUCUCUUAUAC
Molecule: ribosomal RNA, 301 nt
Filed under: uncultured bacterium
Lineage: Bacteria
Description: partial 16S ribosomal RNA
Rfam family: Bacterial small subunit ribosomal RNA
Source: RNAcentral